UACAGAGGGGGCAAGCGUUGUUCGGAAUUACUGGGCGUAAAGGGCGCGUAGGCGGCCUUCUAAGUCGAACGUGAAAUCCCUGGGCUCAACCCAGGAACUGCGUCCGAUACUGGAAGGCUUGAAUCCGGGAGAGGGAUGCGGAAUUCCAGGUGUAGCGGUGAAAUGCGUAGAUAUAGGAAGGAAUACCAGUGGCGAAGGCGGCCUCCUGGCUCGAUACUGACGCUGAGGCGCGAAAGCGUGGGGAGCAAACAGG
Molecule: ribosomal RNA, 253 nt
Filed under: uncultured bacterium
Lineage: Bacteria
Description: partial 16S ribosomal RNA
Rfam family: Bacterial small subunit ribosomal RNA
Source: RNAcentral